CGAGCACUGAGCUUUUGUUUCUCUUUUAACUGAUCAAGUUCACCAUAUGAACUUGUUGAUGAUUGAGAAGAGGUAUUUGUAACAUUGUGUUCAUCGUGUUCAAUAACAUCACGUUUUUUGUUUUUUUGUGUAGCUUUUUCUAACUAGAUCUCUCAUUCUUCGAAAUUUCAGUCUGCCAAAGUUCCCUGUUGAUCCCCUAUUAGAAGCUUGAUUGAUAGUGCUGUCAUUG
This 229-nucleotide unclassified non-coding RNA is filed under the name Hevea brasiliensis (rubber tree). Lineage: Eukaryota; Viridiplantae; Streptophyta; Magnoliopsida; Malpighiales; Euphorbiaceae. The record is from RNAcentral.